RNAcentral lists this ribosomal RNA (1470 nucleotides) under metagenome. RNAcentral describes it as "bacterial SSU rRNA". It matches the Rfam family "Bacterial small subunit ribosomal RNA". The record is from RNAcentral.
AGAGUUUGAUCCUGGCUCGGGACGAACGCUGGCGGCACGCUUAACACAUGCAAGUCGAACGAGAGAAGAGGAGCUUGCUUUUCUGAUCUAGUGGCGGACGGGUGAGUAACACGUGAGCAAUCUGCCUUUCAGAGGGGGAUACCGAUUGGAAACGAUCGUUAAUACCGCAUAACAUAAUUGAACCGCAUGAUUUGAUUAUCAAAGAUUUAUCGCUGAAAGAUGAGCUCGCGUCUGAUUAGCUAGUUGGUAAGGUAACGGCUUACCAAGGCGACGAUCAGUAGCCGGACUGAGAGGUUGAUCGGCCACAUUGGGACUGAGACACGGCCCAGACUCCUACGGGAGGCAGCAGUGGGGAAUAUUGCACAAUGGAGGAAACUCUGAUGCAGCGAUGCCGCGUGAGGGAAGAAGGUUUUAGGAUUGUAAACCUCUGUCUUCAGGGACGAAAAAAGACGGUACCUGAGGAGGAAGCUCCGGCUAACUACGUGCCAGCAGCCGCGGUAAUACGUAGGGAGCGAGCGUUGUCCGGAAUUACUGGGUGUAAAGGGAGCGUAGGCGGGAUCGCAAGUCAGAUGUGAAAACUAUGGGCUUAACCCAUAAACUGCAUUUGAAACUGUGGUUCUUGAGUGAAGUAGAGGUAAGCGGAAUUCCUAGUGUAGCGGUGAAAUGCGUAGAUAUUAGGAGGAACAUCAGUGGCGAAGGCGGCUUACUGGGCUUUAACUGACGCUGAGGCUCGAAAGCGUGGGGAGCAAACAGGAUUAGAUACCCUGGUAGUCCACGCCGUAAACGAUGAUUACUAGGUGUGGGGAGACUGACCCCUUCCGUGCCGCAGCAAACGCAAUAAGUAAUCCACCUGGGGAGUACGACCGCAAGGUUGAAACUCAAAGAAAUUGACGGGGGCCCGCACAAGCAGUGGAGUAUGUGGAUUAAUUCGAAGCAACGCGAAGAACCUUACCAGGUCUUGACAUCGUAUGCAUAGCUCAGAGAUGAGUGAAAUCUCUUCGGAGACAUAUAGACAGGUGGUGCAUGGUUGUCGUCAGCUCGUGUCGUGAGAUGUUGGGUUAAGUCCCGCAACGAGCGCAACCCUUACUGUUAGUUGCUACGCAAGAGCACUCUAGCAGGACUGCCGUUGACAAAACGGAGGAAGGUGGGGAUGACGUCAAAUCAUCAUGCCCCUUAUGACCUGGGCCUCACACGUACUACAAUGGCUGUCAACAGAGGGAAGCAAAGCCGCGAGGUGGAGCGAACCCCUAAAAGCAGUCUUAGUUCGGAUUGUAGGCUGCAACCCGCCUACAUGAAGUCGGAAUUGCUAGUAAUCGCAGAUCAGCAUGCUGCGGUGAAUACGUUCCCGGGCCUUGUACACACCGCCCGUCACGCCAUGGGAGUCGGUAACACCCGAAGCCUGUAGUCUAACCGCAAGGAGGACGCAGUCGAAGGUGGGAUUGAUGACUGGGGUGAAGUCGGAACAAGGUA